RNAcentral lists this ribosomal RNA (487 nucleotides) under Salmonella enterica subsp. enterica serovar Agona. RNAcentral's name for it is "partial 23S ribosomal RNA". It matches the Rfam family "Bacterial large subunit ribosomal RNA", at positions 161 to 687 of the family's 2925-position model. The record is from RNAcentral. Lineage: Bacteria; Pseudomonadati; Pseudomonadota; Gammaproteobacteria; Enterobacterales; Enterobacteriaceae.
AAUCCAUAGGUUAAUGAGGCGAACCGGGGGAACUGAAACAUCUAAGUACCCCGAGGAAAAGAAAUCAACCGAGAUUCCCCCAGUAGCGGCGAGCGAACGGGGAGGAGCCCAGAGCCUGAAUCAGCAUGUGUGUUAGUGGAAGCGUCUGGAAAGGCGCGCGAUACAGGGUGACAGCCCCGUACACAAAAGCGCAUGUGCUGUGAGCUCGAUGAGUAGGGCGGGACACGUGGUAUCCUGUCUGAAUAUGGGGGGACCAUCCUCCAAGGCUAAAUACUCCUGACUGACCGAUAGUGAACCAGUACCGUGAGGGAAAGGCGAAAAGAACCCCGGCGAGGGGAGUGAAAAAGAACCUGAAACCGUGUACGUACAAGCAGUGGGAGCACAGGUUUACCUGUGUGACUGCGUACCUUUUGUAUAAUGGGUCAGCGACUUAUAUUCUGUAGCAAGGUUAACCGUAUAGGGGAGCCGCAGGGAAACCGAGUCUUAA